UUCAAAUAUGUUGAGAAAUAAAACUUUCCCAGAUAAACAAAAGCUGAGGGAGUUCAACACCACUAGACCUUCCUUACUGGAAAUUCUUGAAGGAGUUCU
Molecule: non-coding RNA, 99 nt
Organism: Ceratotherium simum simum (southern white rhinoceros)
Lineage: Eukaryota; Metazoa; Chordata; Mammalia; Perissodactyla; Rhinocerotidae
Source: RefSeq, a predicted model, not a curated record